Molecule: ribosomal RNA, 300 nt
Filed under: uncultured Lutimonas sp.
Lineage: Bacteria; Pseudomonadati; Bacteroidota; Flavobacteriia; Flavobacteriales; Flavobacteriaceae
Description: bacterial SSU rRNA
Rfam family: Bacterial small subunit ribosomal RNA
Source: RNAcentral
GCGUAUACAAUUUGCCUUUUACUGGAGGAUAGCCAAGAGAAAUUUUGAUUAAUACUCCAUAGUAUUAUUUGAUCACCUGAUCGAGUAAUUAAAGUUCCGGCGGUAAAAGAUGAGUAUGCGUCCUAUUAGCUAGAUGGUAAGGUAACGGCUUACCAUGGCGACGAUAGGUAGGGGUCCUGAGAGGGAGAUCCCCCACACUGGUACUGAGACACGGACCAGACUCCUACGGGAGGCAGCAGUGAGGAAUAUUGGGCAAUGGAGGCAACUCUGACCCAGCCAUGCCGCGUGCAGGAAGACUGC